GUCUACGGCCAUGCCACCCUGAACAAGCCCGAUGUCUGAUCUCAGACCCUAAGCAGGGUCAGGCCUAGUUAGUACUUGGAUGGGAGACCACCUAGGAAGACCAGGUGCUGUAGGCA
This 116-nucleotide ribosomal RNA is filed under the name Pteropus alecto (black flying fox). The record is from RNAcentral. Lineage: Eukaryota; Metazoa; Chordata; Mammalia; Chiroptera; Pteropodidae.